This 235-nucleotide unclassified non-coding RNA is filed under the name plant metagenome. Its description in RNAcentral is "partial contains small subunit ribosomal RNA, internal transcribed spacer 1, and 5.8S ribosomal RNA". The record is from RNAcentral.
UUUCCGUAGGUGAACCUGCGGAAGGAUCAUUAAAGUUAUGGUCCCCCGGCCCCUCCGGGCUGGGGUCUUCUAUACCACCCUUUGUUUAUUACACCUUUGUUGCUUUGGCAGGCCUGCCCUCGGGCUGCUGGCUCCGGCCGGCUCGUGCCUGCCAGAGGACCUAAACUCUGUUUGUAUAUGAAGUCUGAGUACUAUAUAAUAGUUAAAACUUUCAACAACGGAUCUCUUGGUUCUG